UUGAUUGCCAUUUUUCUUUUUUAGUGCAUGCACACAAACAGACGCGAAGAGAGACCCUCAUAUAAGUUUCGUUAGAAUCAGAUGUCUUAAGAAGGAUGGUGAAGUGGUGCGUGUGCAUGGUUCCAAGGAUCCAUGGUUCUACAAUUAAAAACCAGGAUUUCAAACUUUUAAACAAAACUUGAAGAGAAGAGGAGACUUGGGAGCGUACGAAAAGAUUGGGG
RNAcentral lists this long non-coding RNA (221 nucleotides) under Elaeis guineensis (African oil palm). RNAcentral describes it as "long non-coding RNA (EGUI_LNC022474)". Lineage: Eukaryota; Viridiplantae; Streptophyta; Magnoliopsida; Arecales; Arecaceae. The record is from RNAcentral.